This 160-nucleotide small nuclear RNA is filed under the name Olea europaea subsp. europaea. RNAcentral describes it as "U1 spliceosomal RNA". It matches the Rfam family "U1 spliceosomal RNA". Rfam says of the family: U1 is a small nuclear RNA (snRNA) component of the spliceosome (involved in pre-mRNA splicing). Its 5' end forms complementary base pairs with the 5' splice junction, thus defining the 5' donor site of an intron. The record is from Rfam by way of RNAcentral. Lineage: Eukaryota; Viridiplantae; Streptophyta; Magnoliopsida; Lamiales; Oleaceae.
GCGCUUACCUUGAUAGGUCAAUGGGUGAUCGAGAAGGCCCACGGUCUAAGUUGCGAACCUCCAUUGCACUUAGGAGGGGUGCCUGCCUGAGGUCGGCUCAAGUGGUCUAACCAACGUCAUAAGUUAUAAUAGUUGGGGGCUGCUUUCGUACGGUCCCUGC